This 201-nucleotide long non-coding RNA is filed under the name Elaeis guineensis (African oil palm). RNAcentral's name for it is "long non-coding RNA (EGUI_LNC017369)". Lineage: Eukaryota; Viridiplantae; Streptophyta; Magnoliopsida; Arecales; Arecaceae. The record is from RNAcentral.
CUCCUACAAAUCACCCAUAUACCAUACUCGUGUCACCACACGUCUUGAUUAAAAAGACAACCAAUUAAUAUGGCAUACAAUGACCUACACUCGAUACAAUUAUUGUCCUUGUAAUAAUAGUAUUAUUUGGUCAUGAGCAGGAUUUAAGAACCACAUAAUAAAUCCUUUUCUAUCAUUUUUGUAGUAGUUCUUGUAGGAACC